Molecule: ribosomal RNA, 421 nt
Filed under: uncultured Bacteroides sp.
Lineage: Bacteria; Pseudomonadati; Bacteroidota; Bacteroidia; Bacteroidales; Bacteroidaceae
Description: bacterial SSU rRNA
Rfam family: Bacterial small subunit ribosomal RNA
Source: RNAcentral
GAGGAAUAUUGGUCAAUGGGCGCGAGCCUGAACCAGCCAAGUAGCGUGAAGGAUGACUGCCCUAUGGGUUGUAAACUUCUUUUAUAAGGGAAUAAAGUGAGGCACGUGUGCCUUAUUGUAUGUACCUUAGGAAUAAGCAUCGGCUAACUCCGUGCCAGCAGCCGCGGUAAUACGGAGGAUGCAAGCGUUAUCCGGAUUUAUUGGGUUUAAAGGGUGCUCAGGCGGGACAUUAAGUCGGCGGUGAAAUUUUGCGGCUCAACCGUAAAAGUGCCUUCGAAACUGGUAUCCUUGAGUGCAGUAAAGGUGGGCGGAAUUCGUGGUGUAGCGGUGAAAUGCUUAGAUAUCACGAAGAACUCCAAUUGCGAAGGCAGCUCACUGGAGUGUAACUGACGCUGAUGCUCGAAAGUGUGGGUAUCAAACA